RNAcentral lists this small RNA (98 nucleotides) under Mariniflexile fucanivorans. RNAcentral's name for it is "Flavo-1 RNA". It matches the Rfam family "Flavo-1 RNA". Lineage: Bacteria; Pseudomonadati; Bacteroidota; Flavobacteriia; Flavobacteriales; Flavobacteriaceae. The record is from Rfam by way of RNAcentral.
GAUUUGCGUUAACGAUUGCAGCGGCAUCCUUUUUUUUAAAUCAAAUAAACGCUCGUAUUUGAUUUAAAAAAAAGAUAUAGCGUAAAGCGUGGUCGAUG